AUGUGCCAGCCCCGGGAUGUGCCAGCCCCGGGAUGUGCCAGCCCCAGCACUGGGAUCUGGUGGCCCUGUCUGGGCAGGGGGACUGGGCCGGGUGAUCUCCAGAGGUUCCUGCCAACCCCAGGUGUGCUGGGAUCCGGGGACCUCAGCUGGAUGCCAGCCCUGAGGCUGCCCCUGGAGCAGGGAAAAGGCAGCCCUAAGGUGCCACCAGGAUGGGGGGACACGGGAGGGACCCCGGGGUGCUGGCACAGCUGGGUGCUGUCCCUGUCCCUUCCAGCUGGGCACUGUGCCUGUCCCAGUGCCUGUCCCUGUGCCUGUCCCUGUGCCUGUCCCAGUGCCUGUCCCUGUCCCUUCCAGCUGGGCACUGUGCCUGUCCCUGUGCCUGUCCCUGUCCCUGCCAGCUGGGCACUGUCCCUGUGCCUGUCCCUGUGCCUGUCAGCUGGGCACUGUGCCUGUCCCUGUCCCUGUGCCUGUCCCAGUCCCUGUGCCUGUCCCUGUGCCUGUCCCUGUGCCUGUCCCAGUCCCUGUGCCUGUCCCUGUGCCUGUCCCUGUGCCUGUCCCAGUGCCUGUCCCUGUCCCUGUGCCUGUCCCUGUGCCUGUCCCUGUCCCUGCCAGCCGGGCACUGUCCCUGUGCCUGUCCCUGUCCCUGUGCCUGCCAGCUGGGCACUGUGCCUGUCCCUGUGCCUGUCCCUGUGCCUGUCCCUGUGCCUGUCCCUGUCCCUUCCAGCUGGGCACUGUGCCUCUCCCAGUGCCUGUCCCUGUCCCUUUGCCUGUCCCUGUGCCUGUCCCAGUGCCUGUCCCUGUCCCUGUCAGCCGGGCGCUGUCCCUGUGUCUGUCCCUGUCCCUGUCCCUGCCAGCCGGGCACUGUCCCUGUCCCUGCCAGCCGGGCACUGUCCCUGUCCCAGUGCCUGUGCCUGUCCCUGUCCCUGUCCCUGCCAGCUGGGCACUGUGCCUGUCCCUGUGCCUGUCCCUGUCCCUGCCAGCCGGGCGCUGUCCCUGUCCCUGCCAGCUGUGGCUCCGCAGGGCCUGGCCCGGCCAGCCCCGGAAUUUGGGAGAAACCAGACUUGCCAUGUUGUGCUGCCAGGGCCAGCCCUGCCCGCAGCCCCACAGGAGCGGUGCCAGCCCAUCCCCGGGGCUGGGAGUGCCCCGUGUGCCACCUCCGGGAUGGGGACUGCCCCAAUUCCUGCCCCAAUUCCUGCCCCAAUUCCUGCCCCAGUUCCAGCCCUGCUGGGACACAGAGGGAAUCUGGGCUUUGCUGGAUUGACACGGUGCAGACCCCCGUGCCCUGGUCCCCUGGGGCUCAGCUGGAGAAAAGGAGGCUCAGGGGGGACCUUCUCCCUUCACAACUCCCUGACAGGAGGGUGGGCUCGGCAUCUGCUGCCAGUAAACAAGUGA
This 1392-nucleotide long non-coding RNA is filed under the name Taeniopygia guttata (zebra finch). RNAcentral describes it as "lncRNA (ENSTGUG00000025325.1)". The record is from RNAcentral. Lineage: Eukaryota; Metazoa; Chordata; Aves; Passeriformes; Estrildidae.